This is a non-coding RNA of Cyanistes caeruleus (blue tit), 587 nucleotides long. Lineage: Eukaryota; Metazoa; Chordata; Aves; Passeriformes; Paridae. The record is from RefSeq and is a predicted model, not a curated record.
UCAGCUUCAUCCAGGGCCCCGCGGCCUCCCGUCCCCAGCCUGAUCACCACUGGGGUCCAGCUCGGCCCUGCCAGGCCAUGCAGGCUGCGGUGGAGUGGGACCAGCCCCAACAAAGCUGAGUUACUUUUCCAGUCCAGAAGCAAGAGAGAGAUCUCCCAGGGUGCCAUGAGUCAAUAUUGCAGGAUGGAGCAGGAAACACAGGGAGAGAAUUAUUCACAAGGAGGUACUAGAUACAGGAUCAAACUGAUGAAAUACCCCUGAAUGAGUCAUUCAACACAACCUUUGUUGUCAACAGGGAGAAAUAAUCACCUUGGAGCACAGUUCAUGUCACCCUAAAGUGGAGACUCAUGGUAUAUAAUAUUAAUUGCUCUUUUAAGGUUUUUUUCUUUCUCCAUAUACAGUAUGUAAAAAACCUAUGAUGACAAGCACAGAUGUCUGCAUUAUAAGCAUCUAAAAGUAGCAUAUUCACUUUCUAUCUCGAAUACCUUCAGAAAGAUGAUGAGCUUUUGCAACUCCAGCUGAAUAUGUAGAAGCCAAGGAGAUCAAAACUUUCUGAUCAGUGGGAUUAGACACCGUCUUAAAAACAU